GAUGAACGCUAGCGGCAGGCUUAACACAUGCAAGUCGAGGGGUAUGCUUCUUCGGAAGCAGAGACCGGCGCACGGGUGCGUAACGCGUAUGCAAUCUACCUUUUACAGAGGGAUAGCCCAGAGAAAUUUGGAUUAAUACCUCAUAGUAUUAUAGAAUGGCAUCUAUUUUAUAAUUAAAGUCACAACGGUAAAGAUGAGCAUGCGUCCCAUUAGCUAG
Molecule: ribosomal RNA, 217 nt
Filed under: uncultured bacterium
Lineage: Bacteria
Description: partial 16S ribosomal RNA
Rfam family: Bacterial small subunit ribosomal RNA
Source: RNAcentral